CGACCGGCGCACGGGUGAGUAACGCGUAUCCAACCUGCCUUACACUCUUGGACAGCCUUCUGAAAGGAGAUUAAUACAAGAUGUUAUCAUGAGUAAGCAUUUUCACAUGAUUAAAGGUUUACCGGUGUAAGAUGGGGAUGCGUUCCAUUAGAUAGUAGGCGGGGUAACGGCCCACCUAGUCUUCGAUGGAUAGGGGUUCUGAGAGGAAGGUCCCCCACAUUGGAACUGAGACACGGUCCAA
RNAcentral lists this ribosomal RNA (241 nucleotides) under uncultured bacterium. Its description in RNAcentral is "partial 16S ribosomal RNA". It matches the Rfam family "Bacterial small subunit ribosomal RNA", at positions 92 to 334 of the family's 1533-position model. The record is from RNAcentral.